RNAcentral lists this transfer RNA (72 nucleotides) under Parcubacteria group bacterium ADurb.Bin159. RNAcentral's name for it is "tRNA-Lys". It matches the Rfam family "tRNA". From Rfam's summary of the family: Transfer RNA (tRNA) molecules are approximately 80 nucleotides in length. Their secondary structure includes four short double-helical elements and three loops (D, anti-codon, and T loops). The record is from RNAcentral.
GCCCCCGUAGCUCAAUGGUAGAGCAGUGGCCUUUUAAGCCAUUGAUCCGGGUUCGAUUCCUGGUGGGGGCAC